GUGGAAGAUAUUUGGAUUGACCCUGAUUAUGAGAGACUGCGUCCCCAGGAAAAGGUCCAAAAUUCUUCAUUGCAGCUGGCCUCGCCUCCAAGAAAACUCAAUUCUACUGAGAGGAAGAUCCAACCAAAGGGAGAAAAGGUGAGCAGAGCCAAGAAAAUGGUAGUGUUGUGGAUGAGGAAAAACUCUGGAUAUUCUUUCUGUAAUCCAGGUACUCAUCCUCUGUCAAUGAGGUAUAAACCUUCCAUUAGGAUAUGAAAGUCUAGAGUUCUAUAACCAAGCAUACCCCUCAACUUGCUGCUUACCAUCCAACCCUACCUAUUUUCUGACAAAAGCCAGGUUUCUCUUAACAGUCUCAUUCACUGAGACAAAGAUCACUAUUUUCAAGAUUCAAGAAGCACCCUAAUUGACCUUGGCCCUGAAAUAUAGCCUCUCUUGUUUGAGGUUGGAUUGCUUAUUUGCUUAUUUUGUUUGCUAUAUUGCUUAUUUGCUCAAUUGGUUGUUUUAGAACUGGAAUCCAAAGGGAAAAUGGCUGCAUACUCUGCUCUUUUCCUACUAGCUCAGUGAGGAAGUAAAGAAAACAAGGCAAGACAGCCACUUCCCCAAAAUCACUGCAGUUUUCUUUGAAAGAGUCUUUAGAAUACAUCAAAGGGAUUGAUGAGAACAAAUCAAGAAUAAAGUAUGGGAGGCUGGUUCAGGGUGAUAGUUCUGAGUAGUCCCAAGUGGCAAAUCAUUCCAGAUGUCUGGAGGUUUGUCUUUUGCCUGAUAAAUACUAGAAUUAUAGAUUAAAUGAGCCCAAGGAUUGGAAUUAGACCCUCUUGAAUAAGAUGCAGUAUUAUCCAUUGCAACAGGGCUCACCUACAAGAAAGCCCAGUGAUUCUGAGAAGGUGGAAAAACAGCCAGAAGAGAAGAGAAGAUUGAAUGAACUGGAGGAUGAGAAUCAGUGUCUUCGAGAUAAGGUCGAAUAUUAUUCAUCACAAAUGGAUUCAGCCACGAUCAAGCUCUAUACUGCUGAGAAGCUCCAACAGCAAGCUGAAAAGGAAAAGGAAAGAUUAAAUAAGCUGGAGAAUGAGAAUCAGAAUCUCCGGGAUAAAAUGGAGUAUUAUUCAUUAAAACUUGACUCGGCUUCAAGAAAGCUCAGUGCUGCUGAGAAGAUGAUGCUACAGCAGGCAGAAAAGGUGAGCAGACCCAAGAGCAUCACAAUGAAGGGAAAGGUGACAGCACUAAACAGUCUUUCUGUAAUCUAAUUAUCCAUUCUUUGUCACAAAAGUAUCAGUCAGCAAUAAGAAAUUAAUGCCCCAAAUCCUAUGAACAUAUUCAUUCCUAGGCUUGCUAAUCAGCAUCCAACACUACCUAUCCUAUCAAAGCCAGGGUUCACUCUCCUGUCACACUCACUGGGGCAAAAGCCACUUCUUUCUCCAUGUUGGGAGAGUGUUUUAAAAUACAGGCCCCCAAAAUAGAAACCCCAAACCACCUGGACCUUGGCAUCACCUUUUCCAAACUCCUUGAGAUUGACUAAUUGGUUGGUUGAUUUGUUGUUUUAGAGCUGAAAAUCAGGGGAUAAAUGGGUGGGAAUGGAGGACAGGAAGCUACUAAUCCUUGUCCUUAGUAUGAAUGUAAGGAAACAAGAAAAAAGAAAGCCAAGGUAGUUUUCCAAAAAAAUUUACCCAAAUGUCUUUUAUAAAGAGUUUGUAUAAGAGGUUUAAGAGAUUGAUGGGAAUAGGCCAAGACAUCCAGACUGAAGUGUGGGACUAUGGCUCAGGGCUAAAAGUGAAAGCAUUUCAGGUGUCAAGUAAUUCCUGAUGGCUUGGGCUUUGUUCUGUGAGGAAUAGGAGAAAGAAAGAUUGAAUGAGCUGGAGAGAGAGAACCAGAAACUCCGGGAUAAAAUGCAAUAUUAUUCAACACAAUUGGAAUCAGCUACAGUCAGGCUCCAUGAAGCUGAGAAGAAGAUUCGACAAGCACAAAAGAAGAAGGAUGGACUGAAAGAGUUGGAAAAUGAGAAACUGGGUCCCUGGGAGAAGGCAAAAUAUUUUUCAUUUCACAUGGAUGCAUUUACAAGCAGGGUCAGAGCAACUGAGAAGGUACAACUACUGGCCGAAAAGAGGAAGGACAAAUUGAAGGAGCUGGAGUGUGAGAACCAGAAUCUCCGGGAUAGGAUGCAAUAUUAUUCAUGGCAACUGAACUCAACUACAGUCCAACUCUGUGCUGCUGAGAAGAUCCUUCAGCAGGAAGAAAAGGUCAGAAGUUCUAAAAGCACAACAGUGGUGAUAAAGGGGGACAACUCUGAACAAUCAUUCUGUAGUCUAGCCCAUCCUUUGUCCUAG
This is a long non-coding RNA of Monodelphis domestica (gray short-tailed opossum), 2321 nucleotides long. The record is from Ensembl. Lineage: Eukaryota; Metazoa; Chordata; Mammalia; Didelphimorphia; Didelphidae.